Molecule: ribosomal RNA, 253 nt
Filed under: uncultured bacterium
Lineage: Bacteria
Description: partial 16S ribosomal RNA
Rfam family: Bacterial small subunit ribosomal RNA
Source: RNAcentral
UACGGGGGGGGCAAGCGUUAUUCGGAAUUACUGGGCGUAAAGGGCUCGCAGGUGGCCAACUAAGUCAGACGUGAAAUCCCUCGGCUUAACCGGGGAACUGCGUCUGAUACUGGAUGGCUAGAGAUUGGGAGAGGGAUGCGGAAUUCCAGGUGUAGCGGUGAAAUGCGUAGAUAUCUGGAGGAACACCGGUGGCGAAGGCGGCAUCCUGGACCAACACUGACGCUGAGGAGCGAAAGCCAGGGGAGCAAACGGG